GUUCAAAUGAGGAAGGGCUUAUGGUGGAUACCUAGGCACCCAGAGAUGAGGAAGGGCAUGGUAAGCGAUGAAAUGCUUUGGGGAGUUGAAAAUGAGCAUAGAUCCGGAGAUUCCUGAAUAGGUUAACCUUUUUAACUGCCGUUGAGUCCAUGGGCAGGCAAGAGACAACCUGGCGAAUCGAAACAUCUUAGUAGCCAGAGGAAUAGAAAGAAAAAUCAAUUCCCAUAGUAGCGGCGAGUGAAAUGGGAGUAGCCUAAACCAUGAAAAUGGGGUUGUGGGAGAGCAAAAUAUAAGCUCUGUGCUGCUAGGCGAAGCGGUUAAGUCCUACACCCUAGAUGGUGAGAUUCUAGUAGCCAAAAGAAUCAUUGGGUUAUGCUCUAACCCGAGUAGCAUGGGGCACAUGGAAUCCUAUGUGAAUCAGUAAGGACCACCUUGCAAGGCUAAAUACUCCUGGGUGAUCGAUAGCGAAGUAGUACCAUGAGGAAAAGGUGAAAAUAACCCCCAUCAGGGAGUGAAAUAGAACAUGAAACCAUAAGCUCCCAAGCAGUGGGAGGAAAAUGAUAUCUCUGACCAUGUGCCUGUUGAAGAAUGAGUCGACGACUUAUAGGUAGUGGAUUGGUUAAGGGAACCCACUAGAGCCAUAGUGAGAGCRAGUCUUCAUGGGGAAAUUGUCACUACUUAUGGACCCGAACCUGGGUGAUCUAUCCAUGACCAGGAUGAAKAUUUGGUGAAACUAAGUGGAGGUAUGAACCGAAUGAUGUUGAAAAAUCAUCGGAUGAGUCAUGGUUAGGGGUGAAAUGCCACUCGAAUCCAGAKCUAGCUGGUUCACCCCAAAAUGUGUUGAGGCAUAGAAGUUGACUGGACCAUCUAGGGGUAAAKCACUGUUUCGGUAUAGGCCACAAGAGCAGUACCAAAUUGAGGCAAACUCYGAAUACUAGAUUGCCCCAAUAAAAGGGGUAAAGGUCCUCUAGUGAGACGAURGGGGAUAAGCUUCAUUGUCGAGAGGGAAACAACCUAGAUCAUCAGCUAAGGCCCCUAAAUGACCRCUCAAUGAUGAAGGAAGUACGAGUGCAAAGACAGCCAGGAGGUUUGCCUAGAAGUAGCCAAMCUUGAAAGAGUGCGUAAUAGCUCAUUGAUUGAGCGCUCUUUACSCUGAAGAUGAACGAGACGAAGYGAUCUGCUGAAGCUGUGGGAUGUAAAAAUACAUYGGUAGGGGAGCAUUCCRCCUCAAAGGGAAGCACYGGUGCGAGAAGGUGUGGAUGAAGCGGAAGCGAGAAUGUCAGCUUGAGUAAUGCAAACAUUGGUGAGAAUCCAAUGCCCCGAAAACAUAAGGUUUCCUUUGCAAGGUUCRUCCAYGGAGGGUGAGUCAGGUCCUAAGAUYAGGCCAAAAGKCAUAGUCGAUGGACAACAGGUUAAUAUUCAUGUACUACCCCUUGUUGGUCUCGAGGGACAGAGGAGGCUAGGUUAGCUGAAACAUGGUUAUCGAUUCAAGGACGCAAGGUGACCCUGCAUUUUUCAGGGUAAGAAGGGGUAGAGAAAAAUCCUCGAGCCAAUGUCUAAGUACCAAGUGCUACAGUGCUGAAGUAAUCCAUGCUAUACUCCUAGGAAAAGCUCGAACAACCUUUAACAAAUGGUAACCUGUACCCAAAACGUACACAGGUAGGUAGGUAGAGAAUAACUAGGGGCACGAGAAAACUCUCUCUAAGGAACUUGGCAAAAUAGCCUCGUAAGUUCGGAAGAAGGGGUGCCUCCUCAGGAGGUCAUAGUGACUAGGCUCGAGUGACUGUUUACCAAAAAAACAGGUCUCUGCAAAGUCAUAAUACCAUGUAUGGGGGCUAAUGCCUACCCAGUGCCAGAAGGUUAAGGAAGUUGGUGACUUGAUGAUGGGGAAGUCAAUGAUCGAAGCCCUAGUGAAUGGCGGACGUAACUAUAAUGGUCCUAAGGUAGAUAAAUUCCUUGUCGAGUAAGUUCCAACCUGUACGAAAGGCGUAAUGAUCUGGGCAUUGUUUCGGAGAGAGACUCAGUGAAAUAGACAUGUCUGUGAAGAUGUGAACUACCUGCACCUGGACAAAAAGACCUUAUGAAGCUUUACUAUUCCCUGGGAUUGUCUUUGGGUUCUUCUUGCGCAACUUAGGUGGAAGGCGAAGAAGGAUCCCUCUUAGGGGGGCCUGAGCCACCAGUGAGAUACCACUCUGGAAGAGCUAGAAUUCUAACCUUGUGUCAGGACCUACGGGCCAAGGGACAGUCUCAGGUAGAUAGUUUCUAUGGGGUGUAGGCCUCCCAAAAGGUAACGAAGGCAUGCAAAGGUUUCCUUAGGCUGGACGGAAAUUGACCCUCGAGUGCAAAGGAAAAAGGGAGCUUGACUGCAAGACCCACCCAUCGAGCAGGGACACAAUUCUCCCUUAGUGAUCCAAUGGUACCAAGUGGAAGGGUCGUCGCUCAAUGGAUAAAAGUUACUCUAGGGAUAACAGGUUGAUUUUUCUCAAGAGUUCACAUCGACGGGAAGGUUUGGCACUUCGAUGUCAUCUCUUCGCCGCCUGGGGAGGUAGUACAUUCCAAGGGUUGGGUUGUUCUCCCAUUAAAGUGGUACAUGAGUUGGGUUCAGAAUGUUGUGAGGCAAUUUGGUCCAUAUUCGGUGUGGGCAUUAGAGCAUUGAGAGGACCUUUCCCUAGUACGAGAGGACCGAGAAGGAUGCACCUCUGUUGUUAUCAUGCCCACGGUAGACGUUGGGUAGCCAAGUGCAGAGAGGAUAACUACUGAAAGCAUAUAAGUAGGAAUCCCACCCCAAGAUGAGUGCUCUCCUAUUCUUACUUCCUUGAGAGACCUAGUCAUGAAUAGGGCUGGGACAACGAUAGGUUCUCUUUCCUUGUAGGGGAUGGAGCGAAAAAGGUAUUGAGAAUCCAAGAUAAGGUCACGGUGAUAUGAGCCGUUUAUCAUUAUGAUAGGUGUCAAGUGGAAGUGCAGUGAUGUAUGCAGCUGAGGCAUCCUAAUAGACCGAGAGAUUUGAACCU
Non-coding RNA from Picea glauca (white spruce), 3011 nucleotides. The record is from Rfam. NCBI's taxonomy places the organism in Eukaryota, Viridiplantae, Streptophyta, Pinopsida, Pinales, Pinaceae.